GCCCCCAUAGCUCAAUCGGAUAGAGCGCAGGCCUCCGGAGCGUGAGAUUGAGGUUCGAAUCCUCAUGGGGGCA
RNAcentral lists this transfer RNA (73 nucleotides) under bacterium. RNAcentral describes it as "tRNA-Arg". It matches the Rfam family "tRNA". From Rfam's summary of the family: Transfer RNA (tRNA) molecules are approximately 80 nucleotides in length. Their secondary structure includes four short double-helical elements and three loops (D, anti-codon, and T loops). Further hydrogen bonds mediate the characteristic L-shaped molecular structure. tRNAs have two regions of fundamental functional importance: the anti-codon, which is responsible for specific mRNA codon recognition, and the 3' end, to which the tRNAs corresponding amino acid is attached (by aminoacyl-tRNA synthetases). tRNAs cope with the degeneracy of the genetic code in two manners: having more than one tRNA (with a specific anti-codon) for a particular amino acid; and 'wobble' base-pairing, i.e. permitting non-standard base-pairing at the 3rd anti-codon position. The record is from RNAcentral.